AGUUUAUUUUGUUUAUUUUUUUUGUUUGUUUUAAAUCCAGUAAAAUUGGAAUGAUUCAUCAUCAGGACAGCAAUUAGGGAUUGGUCAUAUAGGUGGACAGGAAAAAGGAGGGGAGGCAGGGGAGGCAAGGCUCUUGCUGGGCACGCGGACACGAUACCCAGGCCGGUGGCCACACUUGCAAUGGAGAGGAAGGGGUAGGACUGGGGCAGGAUGACAGUAGGUAUGUCAGGGGUGGGUGGGGCACUUGGAUCGGGCUGCCUGGCUCUCACUUCUUGUUUUUGAGCUGAUUGGCUAGCCAGUCCAGGCCUUCGUACAGCCCAUCCCCGCUGGUGGCACAGGUGGCCUGAAUGUACCAGUUAUGGUGAUGAAGGGAAUGCAGGCCCAGCUUGUCUGUGAUCUCAGCAGCGUUCAUAGCAUUAGGCAGAUCCUGUUUGUUUGCAAAAACAAGGAGCACAGCAUCCUCAUCAGCUCUUCCCGGGCCUCACUCACUCGCUCCCCAUCAUUGCUGUCGACCACAAAUAUCAACCCUUGGGUGUUCUGGAAAUAGUGUCUCCAGAGGGGCCGAGUAUGCUCAGGCUUCAGAAGAGGCUCGCCUCUAGUGUCCUCCGCUGUGGCAAGAAGAAGGUCUGGUUGGACCCGAAUGAGACCAAUGAAAUCGCCAAUGCUAACUCGUCAGCAGAUCCGGAAACUGAUCAAAGAUGGGCUGAUCAUCCGAAAGCCUGUGACGGUCCAUUCCCAGGCUCGCUGCCGGAGAAACACCUUGGCCCGCCGGAAGGGCAGGCACAUGGGCAUAGGUAAGCGUAAGGGUACAGCCAAUGCCCGAAGGCCAGAGAAGGUCACAUGGAUGAGGAGAAUGAGGAUUCUGUGCCGGCUGCUCAGUAGAUACCGGGAACCUAAGAAAAUUGAUCGCCGCAUGUAUCACAGCCUCUACCUGAAGGUGAAGGGGAAUGUGUUCAAAAACAAGCGGAUUCUCAUGGAACACAUCCACAAGCUGAAGGCAGACAAGGCCCGCAGGAAGCUCCCGGCUGACCUGGCUGAGGCCCGCCAGCGCCGUGAAGAGCGCCUCCAGGCCAAAAAGGAGAUCAUCAAAACUUUUCCAAGGAGGAAGAGACCAAGAAAUAAAAGCUCCCCCUUUGUCUGUACAUACUGGCCUCCGUGAUUACAUAGAUCAGCCAUUAAAAUAAAACGAGCCUUAAAAAAAAAAAAAAAAAAAAGAGAGAGACCAAAGGUGGAAUUAUCUUGCUUUACCCUUCUGGAAGAAUUGUGUGAUGAAAUGUAUUAGUUAUAUAUUGCUGCAUAGCAACUUACCUCAAAAUGUAAUGGCUUAGAAUAAGAACAAAUGUUUAUUUCUUAUAGUAUGGGUCAGAUAUGAAGAAGUGGUUUAGCUGGCAGCUGUGGCUUGAGGUCUCUUGGGAGGUUGUACUCAAGAUGUGAGCUAGACUGCAGCUGUCUGAGGCUUGUCUGGUGCUGGAAGAUUUACUUCUAAGGUAAUAUUUGCCUGCAUUUUGGUGCUGGUUGCUGAGAGAACACUGCAUUUCUCCUUGCCAGCCUCGUGCUGGCUUCUUGAGCGUCCACGUGACAUGGUGGCUGAAUUCCCAGAGCGAGUAGUCCAGGAGGCCAAAGAUGAGGCAGCAAUGUCUUUUAUGGCCCAGGCUUGGAAGUCAUAGACUGCCGGCUCUACCAUAUUCUCGUGCAUAGGUCAGCCCCAAUUCAGUGUGGUUGGGACAAUGAUAGGAGGUGGGGUACCUGAGGGACAUCUUGGAGACUGACUGCUGUCCCAACGGCUAUUCAGCUUAAAGGCCAGCUUAUCUCUUUUUUAUUUUUCUUUGAGCUGGAGUCUUGCUCUGUUGCCCAGGCUGGAGUGCAGUGGUGCAAUCUCGGCUCAGUGCAACCUCCGCCUCCCAGGUUCAAGCAAUUCUCCUGCCUCAGCCUCCCAAGUAGCUGGGACUCCAUGCACAUGCCACCAUGCCUGGAUAAUUUUUCGUAUUUUUUUUAGUAGAGACUAGGUUUCACUGUGUUAGCCAGGAUGGUUUCGAUCUCCUGACUUCGUGAUCCCCUGAUCUUGGCCUCCCAAAGUACUGGGAUUACAGGUGUGAGCCAUUGCACCAGGCCACAUGUUUUCUCUUAAAGAGAGAGUCAUAUUUGUUUACUGCUCUAUCUCCAAUGCUGCAGCAGUACCUAGCAUGUAGUCAGUGCUCCAUGCAUAUUUAGGGAAUGCACGAUUUUAUGAACAAAAGACAUUACUUUCAAGAAGUGCUUUCUAGUUUGUAAAGUCAUUUUCCAGAUGUUUUACAAGUUGGUUCCUACCUCUGUGAGGUAGAGAGGGCUCGUAUUAUGAAUACUACUUUAGAGAAGAGUGAACAUACAGUCACAUAUGAAAACCAUUGUCCAAAUUCAUGCAGCCCGGAAUCCAAUGCUCUUUCCUCACGCUCUCCUCCUAUCACAUGAUCAUGUCAUGACCCCAGUUCCCCGGGCUUCAUCCAUGUUCAUGGCUGUGAGGUGGGUGUCUUGAAGGGUAGAUGAAAUGACCUCUGGGAGGCUGGGACAAACCCUUUCUAUGGUUUAUGGGCAGGUCUGCUGUGAUGCCGGGGACAUUUAAGCCACAAGGCUCGCAGUUGCACGGAUGCUUUCAGGACAGUUCUUGACUUUGUUUUCCAAGUGCAAACCAUCUAUGUGUGAUUACAUGUGAUAAACUGAUACAAAUUCUAGAAGACGGUGACCUGCUGUUUAGCAAUAUUGACAGUCAUUAAUGGCAGUGCGGCUGUAAGCAUCCCUCAAAGGCAUCAAUAGGUCUUAGAAUAGAUGGAUGAUUCACUUAAUCUCACAGGAGACAUGUUUUUAAGGAAACCUGAAGUCAUUGACAAUUUCAUUGUUUUCCAACAGUUAUUUUUUCCCCCUUUUUAGUAUAUUUUAGAGGUGAGGUCUUGCUCUGUUAUCCAGGCUGGAGUGCAGCGGCACGAACUUAGCUCACUACAGCCUCGAACUCCUGGACUCAAGUGAUCCUCCCACCUCAGCCUCCUGAGUAGCUGAGAUUGCAUGUGCAUACCACCAUGUCUGGGUAUUUAUUUAAUUUUUUGUAGAGAUAGGGUCUUUUUUUUUUGAGACGGAGUUUCGCUCUUGUUACCCACGCUGGAGUGCAAUGGCGCGAUCUCGGCUCACCGCAACCUCCGCCUCCUGGGUUCAGGCAAUUCUCCUGCCUCAGCCUCCUGAGUAGCUGGGAUUACAGGCACGCGCCACCAUGCCCAGCUAAUUUUUUGUAUUUUUAGUAGAGAUGGGGUUUCACCAUGUUGACCAGGAUGGUCUCGAUCUCUUGACCUCGUGAUCCACCCGCCUCGGCCUCCCAAAGUGCUGGGAUUACAGGCUUGAGCCACCGUGCCCGGCCAAGAUUGGGUCUUUCUAUGUUGCCCAGGCUUCAUAGAAGAAAUAUUUUGAACAUAGAUACAAACUUGAAUUUUUCUUUAGCUAAACUGAGAAAAAUCAGAUAAAAAUUAAUAAAUUAUGAAAAUUGGUUGAUAAAAUCAACCCCAAUUAUUUUGAUUUUAAGAAACAGGUUGUAACAAAAAAACUCAGUGCCAAAGACAUUCCUUCGUUAAGAAGAGGUACAUUUUGAAGAUAAGUAAUGAACAAGGUCUUGGACAGUUGGUAGUCCCAUCUCUAGGGAGGGCUCAUCUGGGGAUGCGGAGGCUUCCAAGAGAAGGCACAUCUCCCUCUCAGCCCAGCCCCUGUGGGAUACAGCUCCUAAAAGCCUUGGCCAGACAGGGAGUUCCAGUGAGCUGGGGUUUCUCCUGCAGGCUCAUGCCCACCCAGCUUCUCUUCUGACCUAUGGGACCCAGCAUCCCUCUAAUGAGCCAAUUAGGGGCUGAACACGGUGGCUCACACCUGCAAUCCCAGCAAUGAGGCAGGAGGCUCACUGGGAUUUGGAGGCUGCAGUGGUCCGUAACUACACGCCACUGCACUCCAGCCUGGGCAACAAGGGAGGCUCUGUCUCUAAAACACAACAAAGAAGCAUUCUGUGUUUAUUUAAAAGAAAUGUUUGCUCCCCUCCAAUUCUAUCCUUUUGCGUUUCAGAAGAAACUUUGUCUCUGGAUUAGUCCAGCUGAAAUUAUUUUUCUUGCCAUCCGUAUGGGGAAUUUUUCCAUUUUUCAACAAGAAAAUAACCCUUGGGCCAAAGGAACUGUGAAAAUGUUUAGUCUCCAGAAAGGCAUGCAGUCUUUCAGGGCAGCGGAAGCUGUGCAACUCUACUUUGGAGACUGCCAUUGUGUCAUUUAUGAAACAACCUUGCUUGCUUUUCCUUUGCACAUCCAGCAUCCAACUUCUGCGCCCCCACCCCAAUUCAUAAUAACUGCCCUUAGGAUGUCAUGGGGAGAUUUAUUAGGGUGGGGUGCUGCUGGAAUGCCACACGAUUAUCCAGAUAAGAGGCAUUUCAGAACCAGAGUGUGGAUGUGGGUGUGGAGCUUGGAGACUGGCUAUAGUCUCAGAUCCCUUGCUGGGUGGUCGUGGGAAAGUUGUCUCCUUUCCUUGUGUCUCAGUUUCUCCACUUGUCAAAACACAGUGUUUGAAUGGGAUCAUUUCAAUGCUGAAUGAUUUUUUUUUUUUUUUUGAGAUGGAGUUUCACUCUUGUGACCCAGGCUGGAGUGCAAUGGCGCGAUCUCGGCUCACCACAACCUCCGCCUCCUGGGUUCAGGCAAUUCUCCUGCCUCAGCCUCCUCAAUGCUGAAUGAUUUUUAUGAAUUAUCCUGAAGGGAAGAGGGUGAAGCUCAGAUCAGGGUAGUUUCUACAAUGAUUUACAUGAAACGAGUGAUGAAGAAGGCCAUUCCCUGUAUAUUCUUGGGGAGUGGAUAGGGGACGGGGCAGAGCUGAUUUUUAAAGUAUAUAUUCAUAUGACUUGAUGUUCUUAAUACAUUAAUUUUGGGUUUGUGAUAUGUGAGACCUGUUAAAGCACGGGCUCAGAGACGGGGACCCUUUUGCCUGGGUCUUGCCCAGAUGGUGGACGACUCAUUUAGUAGAUGCCAGUGUGGAUGGUUGAUGGCUACAGAUUACACUCUUAAACUAGAAAAUAAUUUGAAUCAUACAGUUCCAUUUAACAAGUGUUUCUCUGGGAAGGCUUCCCCAGUCUCUCUUCCUCCCUGAUUGACAGAAUUAAUCUCCAUCCUUAGAUCCAUUCCCACACAUACUUUUUAUUGCUACAAAUAUAGCACUGUAAUAUGUAAUUCAAAAACAUGUUAACAUUUGCUUCACUGUAUCA
Callithrix jacchus (white-tufted-ear marmoset) is the source of this 5245-nucleotide non-coding RNA. NCBI's taxonomy places the organism in Eukaryota, Metazoa, Chordata, Mammalia, Primates, Cebidae. The record is from RefSeq and is a predicted model, not a curated record.